GCAGCUGUGGUUCACUGGUAGAAUUCCUGCCUUCCAUGUGGGAGAUCCAGGUUCUAUUCCUGGCCAGUGCA
RNAcentral lists this transfer RNA (71 nucleotides) under Loxodonta africana (African savanna elephant). It matches the Rfam family "tRNA". Rfam says of the family: Transfer RNA (tRNA) molecules are approximately 80 nucleotides in length. Their secondary structure includes four short double-helical elements and three loops (D, anti-codon, and T loops). The record is from Rfam by way of RNAcentral. Lineage: Eukaryota; Metazoa; Chordata; Mammalia; Proboscidea; Elephantidae.